Molecule: ribosomal RNA, 421 nt
Filed under: uncultured bacterium
Lineage: Bacteria
Description: partial 16S ribosomal RNA
Rfam family: Bacterial small subunit ribosomal RNA
Source: RNAcentral
AAUAUUGGACAAUGGGGGCAACCCUGAUCCAGCCAUGCCGCGUUUGUGAAGAAGGUCUUCGGGUUGUAAAGCCCUUUAAUAUGGGAGGAAGGGCUUUAGGCUAAUACCCUGAAGUUUUGUCGUUACCGACAGAAUAAGCACCGGCUAACUCUGUGCCAGCAGCCGCGGUAAUACAGAGGGUGCAAGCGUUAAUAGGAAUUACUGGGCGUAAAGCGCGAGUAGGUGGUUCAGUAAGAUGGGUGUGAAAUCCCCGGGCUUAACAUGGGAACUGCUUUCAUAACUGCUGAGCUAGAGUACGGUAGAGGGUAGUGGAAUUUCCUGUGUAGCGGUGAAAUGCGUAGAUAUAGGAAGGAACACCAGUGGCGAAGGCGACUACCUGGACUGAUACUGACACUGAGGUGCGAAAGCGUGGGGAGCAAAC